Molecule: ribosomal RNA, 1554 nt
Filed under: Shigella boydii
Lineage: Bacteria; Pseudomonadati; Pseudomonadota; Gammaproteobacteria; Enterobacterales; Enterobacteriaceae
Description: bacterial SSU rRNA
Rfam family: Bacterial small subunit ribosomal RNA
Source: RNAcentral
AAAUUGAAGAGUUUGAUCAUGGCUCAGAUUGAACGCUGGCGGCAGGCCUAACACAUGCAAGUCGAACGGUAACAGGAAGCAGCUUGCUGCUUUGCUGACGAGUGGCGGACGGGUGAGUAAUGUCUGGGAAACUGCCUGAUGGAGGGGGAUAACUACUGGAAACGGUAGCUAAUACCGCAUAACGUCGCAAGACCAAAGAGGGGGACCUUCGGGCCUCUUGCCAUCGGAUGUGCCCAGAUGGGAUUAGCUAGUAGGUGGGGUAAUGGCUCACCUAGGCGACGAUCCCUAGCUGGUCUGAGAGGAUGACCAGCCACACUGGAACUGAGACACGGUCCAGACUCCUACGGGAGGCAGCAGUGGGGAAUAUUGCACAAUGGGCGCAAGCCUGAUGCAGCCAUGCCGCGUGUAUGAAGAAGGCCUUCGGGUUGUAAAGUACUUUCAGCGGGGAGGAAGGGAGUAAAGUUAAUACCUUUGCUCAUUGACGUUACCCGCAGAAGAAGCACCGGCUAACUCCGUGCCAGCAGCCGCGGUAAUACGGAGGGUGCAAGCGUUAAUCGGAAUUACUGGGCGUAAAGCGCACGCAGGCGGUUUGUUAAGUCAGAUGUGAAAUCCCCGGGCUCAACCUGGGAACUGCAUCUGAUACUGGCAAGCUUGAGUCUCGUAGAGGGGGGUAGAAUUCCAGGUGUAGCGGUGAAAUGCGUAGAGAUCUGGAGGAAUACCGGUGGCGAAGGCGGCCCCCUGGACGAAGACUGACGCUCAGGUGCGAAAGCGUGGGGAGCAAACAGGAUUAGAUACCCUGGUAGUCCACGCCGUAAACGAUGUCGACUUGGAGGUUGUGCCCUUGAGGCGUGGCUUCCGGAGCUAACGCGUUAAGUCGACCGCCUGGGGAGUACGGCCGCAAGGUUAAAACUCAAAUGAAUUGACGGGGGCCCGCACAAGCGGUGGAGCAUGUGGUUUAAUUCGAUGCAACGCGAAGAACCUUACCUGGUCUUGACAUCCACGGAAGUUUUCAGAGAUGAGAAUGUGCCUUCGGGAACCGUGAGACAGGUGCUGCAUGGCUGUCGUCAGCUCGUGUUGUGAAAUGUUGGGUUAAGUCCCGCAACGAGCGCAACCCUUAUCCUUUGUUGCCAGCGGUCCGGCCGGGAACUCAAAGGAGACUGCCAGUGAUAAACUGGAGGAAGGUGGGGAUGACGUCAAGUCAUCAUGGCCCUUACGACCAGGGCUACACACGUGCUACAAUGGCGCAUACAAAGAGAAGCGACCUCGCGAGAGCAAGCGGACCUCAUAAAGUGCGUCGUAGUCCGGAUUGGAGUCUGCAACUCGACUCCAUGAAGUCGGAAUCGCUAGUAAUCGUGGAUCAGAAUGCCACGGUGAAUACGUUCCCGGGCCUUGUACACACCGCCCGUCACACCAUGGGAGUGGGUUGCAAAAGAAGUAGGUAGCUUAACCUUCGGGAGGGCGCUUACCACUUUGUGAUUCAUGACUGGGGUGAAGUCGUAACAAGGUAACCGUAGGGGAACCUGCGGUUGGAUCACCUCCUUACCUUAAAGAAGC